Molecule: transfer RNA, 85 nt
Filed under: Felis catus (domestic cat)
Lineage: Eukaryota; Metazoa; Chordata; Mammalia; Carnivora; Felidae
Rfam family: tRNA
About the family: Transfer RNA (tRNA) molecules are approximately 80 nucleotides in length.
Source: Rfam by way of RNAcentral
GCCCAGGUGGCUCAGUUGGUUAAGCAUCUGACUUCAGCUCAGGUCAUGAUCUCACGGUUCAUGGGUUCAAGUCCCAUGUCAGGCU